Ictalurus punctatus (channel catfish) is the source of this 2225-nucleotide long non-coding RNA. The record is from Ensembl. NCBI's taxonomy places the organism in Eukaryota, Metazoa, Chordata, Actinopteri, Siluriformes, Ictaluridae.
GUGUGUGUGUGUGUGUGUGGGUGUGUGUGUGUGUGUGUGUGUGUGGGUGUGUGUGUGGGUGUGUCUUCAGCUCAGAUGACCAUGCUGAUCCUGGUUAGUAAGAUGCACUCAGUGGGUGUGUGUGUGGGUGGGAAGCGUGUCGUGACUUCCCCUGUGUUUGUGUCUGUGUGUGUUUUGCUUUUCCAUGUAAACAGGUGAUAAACACUGCCCUGUUCUCGAUAAGAAUCACUGCCUCCAGCCAAAAAUGUCCCCUCCUUCUGUGUGUGUGUGUGUGUGUGUGUGUGUGUGUGUGCGUGUGCGUGUGCGUGUGCGUGAGGAGAGGAUUGUAAAGAAGGUUCUGGAAGAGCGCUAUGAUAUCACACACACACACACACACACACACACACACACACAGUCCGAUGAUGAAGAAUUAACACCUCACUGUAACACUCACUUUAUGAUUUAUUUUAAUUACACACUUCAUCCCUGUAUUUUAUUUUAAAGGUAUAAUUCAUGAUUUGUAAUGAACUCUGUUCUGUGUAACAACACGUGACGGUCCAAACUGAUGAAUUUGAUCACAUGACUAGGUGGAGUUAUAAUCGUGCAAGUUUCUGUAGCGACACUAAAUUUGUUCCUGAAACAUUUCUAGUUCAGAGUUCUAGUUCUAGUUCGGAGUUGAGGGGGUUCAGUUCUGACAGGGAAACCCUCUUCUACCCUUUCAGGGUACCACUGCGAGGGGCAGCUGAAGAACCCUUAAAGGUUCCAGAUUGAGCUUCACAUUGAUCAAAUAUUCCCAGCAAACAACGGAGGCCGAGUCCACUUCCUGAUGAAUGAUCAAGAGGCUCAGGGGUGAACAUUAGCUGGAAACCGGAUGAUGUUCUGAAAUGUCUAAUGGAUCAUUUGGUUUGUGCCUUUAAAGAUAAGAGACCUGAAAGGUUCUGUGUAGAACAGACGUCCGAGUAACACUUCAGAAUUUCCACACUUCUGAACAGCACACACCGGCUAAAGCAACAUUUCCAAUCCGAAGAACCCUAGAGGAACAAGUGAGUCAAUCCCGAGUGAGGUAUACUGAGUGCGUUAAUCCCGAGUGUGUUAAUCCCGAUUGAUUUUAUCCCGAGUGAGGUUAUCCUGAAUGAUUUUAUCCCGAGUGUGUUUAUCCCGAGUGAGUUAAUCCCGAGUGAGGUUAUCAUGACUGCGUUAAUCCCAAGUGCGUUAAUCCCGAGUUUUUUAGUCCCGAAUGAUUUUAUCCUGAGUGAAUUUAUCCUGAAUGAUUUUAUCCCAAGUGCGUUUAUCCCGAGUAUGUUUAUCUCGAGUGAGUUAAUCCCGAGUCCGUUUAUCCCGAGUCCAUUUAUCCCGACUGUUUUUAUCCCGAGUGAGUUACUCCCGAGUCCAUUUAUCCCGAGUACGUUUCUUCCGACUGUGUUUAUCCCGAGUGAGUUAAUCCUGACUUUUUUAAUCCCGAGUGCGUUUAUCCCAAGUGAUUUUAUCCCGAGUACGUCUAUCCUGACUGUGUUUAUCCCGAGUGAGUUAAUCCCGAGUGAGUUAAUCCUAAAUGAGUUAAUCCCGAGUGUGUUCAUCCUGAAGAAGCUGUUGGACGUUCACGCUGAGGAUGAAAUUCUUCCUCAGAUGAAUAGCACAGUCCGGGAUGGUAUCUGCCAUUCUAUAAACCAACCAGCAACUGACUUCAAUUAUGACCUCACUGGUCCCUCCAUCUUUCUCUGUCUGUCUCCAUUUUCCUGUCAUCUCUCUCCCUCUCCCUCUCUCUCCUCCAUGCCCACACAGUGUUAAUCUUCCCGUUUCCCAGCAGGCCUUCAUUCGUCUCCAGUCCUGAGGAGAAUUUGAUUAAAUGGAAUACACAUUGCCGCCAGGAGCCGAGCGCAUGCGUUGGAAUCAUUAUAAUAAAUUGAAAAGGGAUCGAAUAUUCUCAGCGCUGUUUCCCAGAAUGCAACACUCGUCAGUGUUUAAUGCGGCGGCUCUUUAGCCCUGUCUGAGAAUCAAUACGGAGGAGUUGUUAUACGCGCUAACCUCCCCGCUAGCUCAUCCGCAUGAGCGCCAUGCUAAUCUCAUUAGCUUUUAUAUUACCGAACCCUGCAGGAUCCAGGCAGUCACAGCGCAUUUUACAGCGCUCUCUCUCUCUCUCUCUCUCUCACACCCACACAAACACACUUGUGGACAUGGGGAGAGAUGUGUGUGUGUGUGUGUGUGUGUGUGUGUGUGUGUGUGUGUGUGUGUGUGUGUGUGUGUGA